RNAcentral lists this ribosomal RNA (458 nucleotides) under uncultured bacterium. RNAcentral describes it as "partial 16S ribosomal RNA". It matches the Rfam family "Bacterial small subunit ribosomal RNA", at positions 338 to 795 of the family's 1533-position model. The record is from RNAcentral.
CCUACGGGUGGCUGCAGUGAGGAAUAUUGGUCAAUGGGCGAUAGCCUGAACCAGCCAAGUCGCGUGAGGGAGUACUGCCCUAUGGGUUGUAAACCUCUUUUGUCGGGGAGCAAAAGCCGGACGUUUCCGUCUGUGAGAGUACCCGAAGAAAAAGCAUCGGCUAACUCCGUCCCAGCAGCCGCGGUAAUACGGAGGAUGCGAGCGUUAUCCGGUUUUAUUGGGUUUAAAGGGUGCGCAGGCGGAUUUUUAAGUAAGCGGUAAAAUCGUGGGGCUCAACCCCAUCCAGCCGUUGAAACUGGGGAUCUAGAGUGUGCGAGAGGUAUGCGGAAUGCGUGGUGUAGCGGUGAAAUGCAUAGAUAUCACGAAGAACCCCGAUUGCGAAGGCAGCAUACCGGUGCACAACUGACGCUCAGGCACGAAAGCGUGGGUAUCGAACAGGAUUAGAUACCCGGGUAGUC